RNAcentral lists this ribosomal RNA (468 nucleotides) under uncultured bacterium. RNAcentral's name for it is "partial 16S ribosomal RNA". It matches the Rfam family "Bacterial small subunit ribosomal RNA", at positions 28 to 507 of the family's 1533-position model. The record is from RNAcentral.
GACGAACGCUGGCGGCGUGCUUAACACAUGCAAGUCGAACGGAAAGGCCCUGCUUUUGUGGGGUGCUCGAGUGGCGAACGGGUGAGUAACACGUGAGUAACCUGCCCUUGACUUUGGGAUAACUUCAGGAAACUGGGGCUAAUACCGGAUAGGAGCUCCUGCUGCAUGGUGGGGGUUGGAAAGUUUCGGCGGUUGGGGAUGGACUCGCGGCUUAUCAGCUUGUUGGUGGGGUAGUGGCUUACCAAGGCUUUGAUGGGUAGCCGGCCUGAGAGGGUGACCGGCCACAUUGGGGCUGAGAUACGGCCCAGACUCCUACGGGAGGCAGCAGUGGGGAAUAUUGCACAAUGGGCGGAAGCCUGAUGCAGCAACGCCGCGUGCGGGAUGACGGCCUUCGGGUUGUAAACCGCUUUCGCCUGUGACGAAGCGUGAGUGACGGUAAUGGGUAAAGAAGCACCGGCUAACUACGUG